AUCCAGCUGAUGAGUCUUAAAUAGGACGAAACGUGCGUCUUAGAU
Molecule: non-coding RNA, 45 nt
Filed under: Schistosoma mattheei
Lineage: Eukaryota; Metazoa; Platyhelminthes; Trematoda; Strigeidida; Schistosomatidae
Source: RNAcentral